UGCGGUUUAAUUGGAUUCAACGCCGAAAAACUCACCAGCAGCGACUGUUACAUGAAAGUCAGGUUGAUGACCUUACUAGAUUUUCAGAGAGGUGGUGCAUGGCCGUCGUCAGUUCGUACCGUAAGGCGUUCUCUUAAGUGAGAUAACGAACAAGACCCUCACCAAUAGUUGCUACCGUAUCCCCCGGGGUACGAGCACACUAUCGGGACCGCUGGCGCUAAGUCAGAGGAAGGAGAGGUCAACGGUAGGUCAGUAUGCCCCGAAUCUGCUGGGCUACACGCGCGCUACAAAGGGCGGGACAAUGGGCUCCGACGCCGAAAGGCGAAGGCAAUCUCGAAACCCGUCCGUAGUUCGGAUUGAGGGUUGUAACUCACCCUCAUGAAGCUGGAUUCCGUAGUAAUCGCGAGUCAACAACUCGCGGUGAAUAUGCCCCUGCUCCUUGCACACACCGCCCGUCAAACCACCCGAGUUGGGUUUCAGUGAGGCUGUCUCUUCCUGGGAUUGUCGAACUGAGAUUUAGCAAGGAGGGUUAAGUCGUAACAAGGUAUCUGUAGGGGAACCUGCAGAUG
Molecule: ribosomal RNA, 569 nt
Filed under: Methanomassiliicoccaceae archaeon UBA415
Lineage: Archaea; Methanobacteriati; Thermoplasmatota; Thermoplasmata; Methanomassiliicoccales; Methanomassiliicoccaceae
Description: bacterial SSU rRNA
Rfam family: Archaeal small subunit ribosomal RNA
Source: RNAcentral